Molecule: non-coding RNA, 26 nt
Filed under: Rattus norvegicus (Norway rat)
Lineage: Eukaryota; Metazoa; Chordata; Mammalia; Rodentia; Muridae
Source: RNAcentral
CAGUAUAACCAGGCUACUAAAAAAAG